UUGGCCAGGGUCAUUAAGGA
RNAcentral lists this unclassified non-coding RNA (20 nucleotides) under Mus musculus (house mouse). RNAcentral describes it as "oocyte_clustered_small_RNA11937". The record is from RNAcentral. Lineage: Eukaryota; Metazoa; Chordata; Mammalia; Rodentia; Muridae.